RNAcentral lists this long non-coding RNA (585 nucleotides) under Monodelphis domestica (gray short-tailed opossum). Its description in RNAcentral is "lncRNA (ENSMODG00000049653.1)". Lineage: Eukaryota; Metazoa; Chordata; Mammalia; Didelphimorphia; Didelphidae. The record is from RNAcentral.
AUGACAAUACCCUCCUCUGGGACAAUCUAUAUUCUUCAGUCUGUUGAGGUUCAGUGCCCACCCUUGGAUUUAAAGCAGACCCCAUCUCUAGAGCCAAAACAGAAGCCUGGGUUAGCUUCCGUGAAACUUCCCUGGGUCAUCUGUCAUCUAGGUAUAGGUGUGCAUAUACAUAUAAGCGCCCACAAGGACUGUCUUGAGGUUUGGAGAAUUACUGAACUACUGCCAGUGUCAGCUCAAUUUGAAAGAGGACAGAAGAGAACCUGCCACUGCAGGACACUUUCCCCUUUAAUGUGCCAGGAAGCCCAGAAGCCAGAGGAUCCUGCACCUCGGACCCUGGAAUUAUCGCUUCAUCCCACCAUGAAGACGGAAAUCUCCUGAUUUGGAGAAGAGAAAAUUGAGUAGAAGGAGAGAAAACUGGGAUCCUGAUGGCUAGAGUGACAGCCACCAUCUCACAACCAGUUCAUGAUAGAGCCAGACUUUGAAUCUCAAGCAUCUUAAUUUCUAGCUCAGUGCUCUUUACAUCACAUUCCUCUGUUUCCUUUUAUUUAAAAAAAUACAAUAAAUAAAACAUAAAAAUAAAUAACA